CCUAGCCCUGAAGCGGGGGACAACAGCUUGAAAGAGCUGCUAAUACCGCAUGUGUCUAUUGGGUGGCAUCAUUCAAUAAACAAAGCCGCAAGGCACUUCAGGAUGGGCCCGCGGCCUAUCAGCUAGUUGGUGAGGUAACGGCUCACCAAGGCUUCGACGGGUAGCUGGUCUGAGAGGACGAUCAGCCGGAUUGGGACUGAGAUACGGCCCAG
Molecule: ribosomal RNA, 212 nt
Filed under: uncultured bacterium
Lineage: Bacteria
Description: partial 16S ribosomal RNA
Rfam family: Bacterial small subunit ribosomal RNA
Source: RNAcentral